GCGCUUUUAUUCUAGCUCAAGCGGAUAGAGCAGCGGUUUCCUAAACCGCGUGUCGGUGGUUCGAGUCCUCCCGGGCGUGCCA
Molecule: transfer RNA, 82 nt
Filed under: Desulforamulus putei DSM 12395
Lineage: Bacteria; Bacillati; Bacillota; Clostridia; Eubacteriales; Peptococcaceae
Description: Desulfotomaculum putei DSM 12395 tRNA_Arg_CCT
Rfam family: tRNA (bases 13-71)
About the family: Transfer RNA (tRNA) molecules are approximately 80 nucleotides in length. Their secondary structure includes four short double-helical elements and three loops (D, anti-codon, and T loops). Further hydrogen bonds mediate the characteristic L-shaped molecular structure. tRNAs have two regions of fundamental functional importance: the anti-codon, which is responsible for specific mRNA codon recognition, and the 3' end, to which the tRNAs corresponding amino acid is attached (by aminoacyl-tRNA synthetases). tRNAs cope with the degeneracy of the genetic code in two manners: having more than one tRNA (with a specific anti-codon) for a particular amino acid; and 'wobble' base-pairing, i.e. permitting non-standard base-pairing at the 3rd anti-codon position.
Source: RNAcentral